RNAcentral lists this non-coding RNA (26 nucleotides) under Homo sapiens (human). Lineage: Eukaryota; Metazoa; Chordata; Mammalia; Primates; Hominidae. The record is from RNAcentral.
UGAUUAAGAUGGUCCAUCUACUGGUC